Molecule: ribosomal RNA, 1375 nt
Filed under: Berlesiella nigerrima
Lineage: Eukaryota; Fungi; Ascomycota; Eurotiomycetes; Chaetothyriales; Herpotrichiellaceae
Description: LSU rRNA
Rfam family: Eukaryotic large subunit ribosomal RNA
Source: RNAcentral
GCGCAUUGUUCUACAGAGGAUGCCUCAGUAACGGCGAGUGAAGCGGCAACAGCUCAAAUUUGAAAUCUGGCCUCUCUUGAUGUUCGAGUUGUAAUUUGUAGAGGAUGUUUCGGGUACCGCACCGGUUUAAAUUUCUUGGAACAGAAUGUCAGAGAGGGUGAGAAUCCCGUCUUGGAUCGGUGUAGGGCCUAUGUGAAACUCCUUCGACGAGUCGAGUUGUUUGGGAACUGCAGCUCAAAAUUGGGUGGUAAACUUUCAUCUAAAGCUAAAUAUUGGCCAGAGACCGAUAGCGCACAAGGUAGAGUGAUCGAAAGAUGAAAAGCACUUUGAAAAGAGAGUUAAACAGUCUGUGAAAUUGUUUUGGAAAGGGAAGCGCUUGCUACCCAGACUUGAGCGCGGUUAGGUUCCCCCUUCCUUCUGGUUGGGUUUGAGAGUUAACUCCGUCCUGUCCAGGCCAAAUCAUCGGUGUAUCUGGGGGUUGGUUAAAGGCUGCUAGUGGGGAAUGUACCGUACCCUUCGGGACGUAGACUUAUAGCACCCGAGUGUCAUGCAACCUCCCGGGACCGAGGAACGCGCUUCGGCUCGGAUGUUGGCGUUAUGGUUGUUAGCGGCUCGUCUUGAAACACGGACCAAGGAGUCUAACAUUUGUGCGAGUGUGUCGGUGUCAUACCCGGAACGCGAAAUGAAAGUGAUCGGAGGCAGGAAGCUUCGGCUGCACUAUCGACCGAUCCUGAUGUCUUCGGAUAGGAUUUGAGUAAGAGCAUCAAUGUUUGUGACCCGAAAGAUGGUGUAACUAUGCCAUGAAUAGGGGCCGAAAGCCAGAGGGAGAACUCUUGGUGUAGGCUCGCAGCAGGUUCUGACGAUGCAAAUCGAUAGUCUCAUAUGGGUAUAGGACGCGAAAGACUAAUCGCAACCAUUGGGAUCGUAACCACAACAGUACUUAUCGACGUCAGUCUACGUAGGCUGGGUACGUGCUGAACUUAAAAAGUGGUCCGCAAGGUUCCUCAUUCUGGGGGCCGACACUGUCAAAUUGCGGGGACGUCCUAAAGCUUGGACUACCAAACAAUGCGAUGAAGUUCCUUUGUGGUCGGGGUUAUGACCUAGCAUAUGGUAAAAUCGUUUGAGAUGUGACAAUGGAUAAUCUGCAGCCAAGUUCUAAGACCCUGUAUGGGCUAUGAAUGCAGUUCACAGACUAAAUGGCAGCGACGCCAUUGUUGAGAGGCUUAAGAUAUAGUCGGUCCCCCGAAGAGACUCGGGUGUACACGCUAAAUCUACCGCGAAGGAUGGCCCUCAUGGGUUCGCGGUAGACCUGUACGGUCGAUCACACAGGCCUGAACAAUAAGAUAGGUGUGCGGAGCUAGAUAGCAAGCAGGGC